This 436-nucleotide ribosomal RNA is filed under the name uncultured bacterium. RNAcentral's name for it is "bacterial SSU rRNA". It matches the Rfam family "Bacterial small subunit ribosomal RNA", at positions 958 to 1393 of the family's 1533-position model. The record is from RNAcentral.
AACGCGAAGAACCUUACCAAGGCUUGACAUGAACCGGACCGGGCUGGAAACAGUCCUUCCCCUUUGGGGCUGGUUUACAGGUGGUGCAUGGUUGUCGUCAGCUCGUGUCGUGAGAUGUUGGGUUAAGUCCCGCAACGAGCGCAACCCUCGUUCUAUGUUGCCAGCACGUGAUGGUGGGGACUCAUAGGAGACUGCCGGGGUCAACUCGGAGGAAGGUGGGGACGACGUCAAAUCAUCAUGCCCCUUAUGUCUUGGCUUCACGCAUGCUACAAUGGCCGGUACAAAGGGUUGCGAUACUGUGAGGUGGAGCUAAUCCCAAAAAGCCGGUCUCAGUUCGGAUUGGGGUCUGCAACUCGACCCCAUGAAGUCGGAGUCGCUAGUAAUCGCAGAUCAGCAACGCUGCGGUGAAUACGUUCCCGGGCCUUGUACACACCGA